CCUACGGGCGGCAGCAGUGAGGAAUAUUGGUCAAUGGCCGGAAGGCUGAACCAGCCAAGCCGCGUGAGGGAGGAAGGCGCAGAGCGUCGCAGACCUCUUUUGCCGGGGGACAAAAGGCCGGACGGGUCCGGUUCUGAGGGUACCCGGAGAAAAAGCAUCGGCUAACUCCGUGCCAGCAGCCUCGGUAAUACGGAGGAUGCGAGCGUUAUCCGGAUUCAUUGGGUUUAAAGGGUGCGCAGGCGGGCCUUUAAGCCGGCGGUGAAAUCGCGGGGCUCAACCCCGCCGAGCCGGCGGAACUGGGGGCCUUGAGUGCGGCGGAGGCAUGCGGAAUGCGCGGUGUAGCGGUGAAAUGCAUAGAUAUCGCGCAGAACACCGAUUGUGAAGGCAGCUUACCAAUCUAUAUCUGACGUUGAGGCACGAAAGCGUGGGGAGCAAACAGGAUUAGAUACCCGAGUAGUC
Molecule: ribosomal RNA, 459 nt
Filed under: uncultured bacterium
Lineage: Bacteria
Description: partial 16S ribosomal RNA
Rfam family: Bacterial small subunit ribosomal RNA
Source: RNAcentral